AUAUAUGAAAAAACAUUGAACGUGCCUGAUCUUGUCUGAUCUCGGAAGCUAAGCAGGGCCUGGCCUGGUAAGUACUUGGAUGGGAGACCACCUAGGAAUACCAGGUGCUGUAGGUG
This 116-nucleotide ribosomal RNA is filed under the name Pteropus alecto (black flying fox). The record is from RNAcentral. Lineage: Eukaryota; Metazoa; Chordata; Mammalia; Chiroptera; Pteropodidae.